Molecule: ribosomal RNA, 443 nt
Filed under: uncultured bacterium
Lineage: Bacteria
Description: partial 16S ribosomal RNA
Rfam family: Bacterial small subunit ribosomal RNA
Source: RNAcentral
CCUACGGGAGGCAGCAGUGAGGAAUAUUGGUCAAUGGCCGUAAGGCUGAACCAGCCAAGUAGCGUGAAUGAUGAAGGUCUUCGGAUUGUAAAGUUCUUUUCUAAGGGAAGAAGAAAGUGACGGUACCUUAGGAAUAAGCCUCGGCUAACUACGUGCCAGCAGCCGCGGUAAUACGUAGGAGGCAAGCGUUAUCCGGAAUGACUGGGCGUAAAGGGUGCGUAGGUGGUUUGAUAAGUUGGUAGCGUAACUCCGAGGCUCAACCUCGGCACUACUACCAAAACUGUCGGACUUGAGUGCAGGAGGGGCAACUGGAAUUCCUAGUGUAGCGGUGGAAUGCGUAGAUAUUAGGAGGAACACCAGUGGCGAAGGCGAGUUGCUGGACUGUAACUGACACUGAGGCACGAAAGCGUGGGGAGCAAACAGGAUUAGAUACCCCGGUAGUC